AUUACAGAGAAGAAAAAAACAUGGUUAGAAUUUUGGAUUUGAAUAUCUAUGCAUUAAAUAUCAAGUCAUUACUUAAAAUGUCAAUAAUACUAUUCCCUAGGGCUGAUGCAAGAGCACUGAAUAAGAUAAAUGUUAAAUCUGUAAGAAAGAAUAACACAAAUGCUCCCUAAUGUCAAUUCUUUUCUCCCAAGAUAGUUGUCCUCCCCCACUCCAAUCUGUAGGUUUAGCAGGUUGACCAAAAUGAUCCUUCCUUCAAGAUCUAAGGAAGAAAGGGCCUCCAAAGAGAAAUCUAGACAGUUUGAGAGCAAACAAUCCUCCUAGCCACCUAGUGUAGUUUAUUCCACUGUGUUAGAUUGGGCGUGCCUCCCGUGGCAGGGAGGUGGGCCAGCAGGAGGCUCUGUUAAGACUUGGCACCCUACACUAUCACACACUGCUUUAUUAGCAUUAGAAAUCACAGGGGAUGCUUGUUAAAAGGAAGCUUCAACACCCAGAGGGAGAUUCCCUAGGGCUCGGGUGGGGCCCAGGAAUCUGCCUUUUCAAUAGUCUCACCCCAUGUUCAGAGGCAGGUUUUAUGGAGAAGCUCUUGGAGAGACACUGUCGUUGUAGAAACAGAGUGCAGAGGAUUAACCAAAUUGCAAAUAACUUGAUCUUAAUUAUUGAUGUCAGGUUUAAGAUACUUAUCUUUUUAAAAUAGUUUAAUUCUACACGGGCCACAACAUAGUUUAGUUGUCCCACGUGGAUGGGGCCAGACUGGAAAAAAAAAUGGGCUUGGGCUCUUCUGCUUUCUUCUGCAGUUCUCCCCUACUAGCUCUGCCCUAUGUCCUUUAAAAGGCAGACAGACCUCCUUUCCUCCACUAACUUCAACCUUUUAAGAUCAGGGGAAGUUGCUUCCCCUCACGCUGAGAAAGAAACAGUCAUGCUGAGCCCUCCCAGCAGUCUCGGAGAGUUACACCUAAUAAUUUACCUAGGGUAAAACCUACGAGUGAGAACUGACCUGUAGACUCAUCUGGACUUGCACUGCUUUUGGAGAAACUGGCAGCUGUCCCCACUUUUGGAUUUAAUACCAUAAGACAAUUUCAGACUAAGUUUGAGGCCCCCCACAAAGGAAGAAAUACUGCUUUAGGAGGCAGAAGAGUUGUGAUCAUCACUUCAAUAUGAAGCUGGCUUCUGUCUGGAGUCUUCUGGAAACCAGCUAUCAUGUACGUGCAGUAGGCCUCAACAUGCUUGCAUCCUGGAGAAACCAGUUCAGUUUCCUUGUUUUUAAAUGCUGCCAAGAUUGACAUAGCUAUACGAAAGGAUGAAAAAAGUUGGAUGAUGCCAAGAUAGUUUUAGAUUUUUAUAUGUAAAAAUGGAGGAAAGCCUGGUUAUCCUGGGAGAGCUGUUUCAAAUAAAAGUGCUUCCUGCCAUGUGUCAUUCACUAGACCUUGCCAGAAGUUAGAAGAGUAUUUAAGAGACGAAGGGAGCAAGACAAGAGGAUGUGAAGCAAAAAAACCUUCUGAGCUAAAAGCUUGAAGCUGGGAAAGAAAAGACAACUACAAAUAAGUAAGCUAAAUAUUUUUGAUCAUCCUGUUGGAUUUAAAUCAGUCUGCAUAACGGUAAGUAGUAUUAUCAUUAGGCCAGCCUGCAUAUUCUAAUAAGAUUUUUCCAAAGAUACUUAGAAGCAAAAAAAGAUCCAGAAACCACAUUUUAAAUUGCUUUUAAAUGAAGUAAUAGUAAAUAUAUGUUUCC
Molecule: non-coding RNA, 1728 nt
Organism: Manis javanica (Malayan pangolin)
Lineage: Eukaryota; Metazoa; Chordata; Mammalia; Pholidota; Manidae
Source: RefSeq, a predicted model, not a curated record